GUUGAACGCUGGCGGCAUGCUUUACACAUGCAAGUCGAACGGUAACAGCACUUCGGUGGCUGACGAGUGGCGCACGGGUGCGUAAUACAUCGGAACGUGCCUAGUAGUUGGGGAUAACUACUCGGAAGAGUAGCUAAUACCGCAUGAGAUCUAAGGAUGACAGCAGGGGACCUUCGGGCCUUGCGCUACUAGAGCGGCUGAUGGCAGAUUAGGUAGUUGGUGGGAUAAAAGCUUACCAAGCCGACGAUCUGUAGCUGGUCUGAGAGGACGACCAGCCACACUGGGACUGAGACACGGCCAAGACUCCUACGGGAGGCAGCAGUGGGGAAUGUUGGACAAUGGGCGCAAGCCUGAUCCAGCAAUGCAGCGUGCAGGAUGAAGGCCUUCGAGUUGUAAACUGCGUUUGUACGGAACGAAAAGCUCUCUUCUAAUACAGGAGGGUCAUGACGGUACCGGAAGAAUAAGCACCGGCUAACUACGUG
This 482-nucleotide ribosomal RNA is filed under the name uncultured bacterium. RNAcentral describes it as "partial 16S ribosomal RNA". It matches the Rfam family "Bacterial small subunit ribosomal RNA", at positions 28 to 507 of the family's 1533-position model. The record is from RNAcentral.